Molecule: ribosomal RNA, 484 nt
Filed under: uncultured bacterium
Lineage: Bacteria
Description: partial 16S ribosomal RNA
Rfam family: Bacterial small subunit ribosomal RNA
Source: RNAcentral
GACGAACGCUGGCGGCGUGCUUAACACAUGCAAGUCGAACGGAAAGGCCCUGCUUUUGUGGGGUGCUCGAGUGGCGAACGGGUGAGUAACACGUGAGUAACCUGCCCUUGACUUUGGGAUAACUUCAGGAAACUGGGGCUAAUACCGGAUAGCAGCUCCUGCUGCAUGGUGGGGGUUGGUAAGUUUCGGCGGUUGGGGAUGGACUCGCGGCUUAUCAGCUUGUUGGUGGGGUAGUGGCUUACCAAGGCUUUGACGGGUAGCCGGCCUGAGAGGGUGACCGGCCACGUUGGGGCUGAGAGACGGGCCAGACUCCUACGGGGGGCAGCAGUGGGGAAUAUUGCACAAUGGGCGGAAGCCUGAUGCGGCAACGCCGCGUGCGGGAUGACGGCCUUCGGGUUGUAAGCCGCUUUCGCCUGUGACGAAGCGUGAGUGACGGUAAUGGGUAAAGAAGCACCGGCUAACUACGUGCCAGCCGCCGCCGUAA